CCUACGGGAGACAGCAGUGGGGAAUAUUGGGCAAUGGAGGAAACUCUGACCCAGCAAUGCCGCGUGAAUGAAGAAGGUCUUCGGAUUGUAAAGUUCUUUAGUCAGGGAAGAAGUCAAUGACGGUACCUGAAGAAUAAGCUCCGGCUAACUACGUGCCAGCAGCCGCGGGAAUACGUAGGGAGCAAGCGUUGUUCGGGAUGACUGGGCGUAAAGGGUGCGUAGGCGGUUUUACAAGUUAGAAGUGAAAUACCCCGGGCUUAACUCGGGUGCUGCUUCUAAAACUGUAUGGCUUGAGUGCAGUAGAGGUGAGUGGAAUUCCAGGGGGAGCGGUGAAAUGCGUAGAUAUUUGGAGGAACACCAGGGGCGAAGGCGGCUAACUGGACUGCAACGGACGCUGAGGUACGAAAGUGUGGGGAGCAAACAGGAUUAGAUACCCGAGUAGUC
Molecule: ribosomal RNA, 444 nt
Filed under: uncultured bacterium
Lineage: Bacteria
Description: partial 16S ribosomal RNA
Rfam family: Bacterial small subunit ribosomal RNA
Source: RNAcentral